AUGAGCCUUACUUAUUAUUUAGUUCUGAUAAAUAUGUCUAUUCUCUCCUUUCAGCAAGCUGCUCUCGUGCUGAAUGCUUCACGUCGCUUUAGAUAUACUCUAGACCUUAAAAAGGAGGAAGAGAAAGAGAUAAUAAGAAGAACGAUCCGAUCACAUGCACAAGUGAUACGGGCAGUAUUUCUUUUCAAAGAAGCUGGAGAAAAUGAUCCCAGAGCUUAUACUGGUAUACAACUUGCAACUGGCUCUCGAAGUUUUCCAAUUGAAUUGGAAAAGCUUAAAACUUUAAACAGAGAUCAUGAUAGUGUUCUUCUUCAGGAAACUAGAGGAGUUAAGGGGCUGUCAGAUUUAUUAAAGAGUAAUUUAGACAUGGGAAUUAAUCCAACUGAGGAUGAAUUGUUACAAAGGAGGGAUGUUUUCGGAGCAAAUACAUAUCCACGCAAGAAAAGAAAAAACAUACUGCGUUUUAUAUUUGAUGCAUGCAAAGAUUUAACUCUCAUCAUUCUAAUGGUAGCUGCUGCCAUAUCUCUUACGUUGGGCAUGGCCACAGAGGGUGUUGAGGAAGGAUGGUAUGAGGGGGGAAGUAUUUUUUUAGCUGUUUUUCUUGUGAUACUUGUCACCGCAACCAGUGAUUACAGGCAAUCACUUCAAUUUCAACAUCUGAAUGAGGAGAAACAGAACAUACAAGUAGAGGUUCUUAGAGGUGGUAAAAGAUUUCGAACUUCAAUAUUUGAGCUUGUUGUCGGUGAUGUGGUUCCGCUGAAUAUUGGUGACCAAGUUCCUGCUGAUGGUAUCCUGAUAUCUGGCCAUUCUCUUGCAAUAGACGAAUCAAGUAUGACUGGGGAAUCAAAAACUGUUCACAAGGAUCAAAAGGCUCCGUUCUUGAUGUCUGGUUGCAAGGUUGCAGAUGGCUAUGGUUCUAUGUUGGUAACAGGUGUGGGUAUCAACACUGAAUGGGGCCAGUUGAUGGCUAACCUUUCUGAAGAUAAUGGUGAAGAAACCCCAUUGCAGGUGCGUUUGAAUGGUGUUGCUACUUUUAUUGGCAUGGUGGGUCUGUCAGUAGCUGGUGUUGUACUUGGCGUGCUUGCGAUAAGAUAUUUUACUGGACAUACCAAGAAUCCGGAUGGGACUGUUCAAUUUCGGGCUGAAACUACUGGUCUCAAACAAGGAUUUAUGGGUGCAAUCAGAAUUUUAACAAUCGCCGUAACCAUCGUAGUUGUUGCUGUGCCUGAGGGACUUCCACUGGCAGUAACAUUGACACUUGCGUAUUCAAUGCGAAAGAUGAUGCGAGACAAGGCGCUGGUGAGGCGGCUCUCAUCUUGUGAAACAAUGGGAUCAGCAACUACUAUAUGCAGUGAUAAGACAGGAACUCUCACCUUGAAUAAGAUGACAGUUGUGGAGGCACACUUUAUCGGGACAAGGUUGGAUCCUUGUGAUGAUGUUAGGGCAAUCUCAAGCAGUUCAGCGGCACUGCUUAUUGAAGGAAUUGCACAAAACACUACAGGAACUGUAUUUUUGCCAGAGGAUGGGGGAGCAGCUGAUGUUACAGGUUCACCAACUGAAAAAGCCAUUCUUUCUUGGGGCCUUAAGAUAGGGAUGGAUUUCAACGAUGUUCGGUCAAAAUCUUCAGUUCUUCAUGUAUUUCCAUUUAACUCAGAGAAGAAGCGAGGUGGUGUUGCAGUGCAGGUAUCAGAUACCGGGGUCCACAUCCAUUGGAAAGGUGCAGCUGAGUUAGUGCUAUCAUCUUGCAAAAGUUGGCUUUCUCUGGAUGGUUCAGUUCAGCCAAUGGAUGCACAGAAGCGUAAUGUGUACAAGAGAUCAAUUGAAGACAUGGCAAAGAGUUCACUACGAUGUGUUGCUUUUGCAUAUUGUCAAUGUGAUAUUGAAAAAAUUCCGAAGGAAGACAUAGCUGAUUGGAAGUUACCUGAGGAAGAUCUGACUCUGCUUGGUAUUGUGGGCAUAAAGGAUCCAUGUCGCCCAGGAGUGAGGAAUGCUGUACAAUUAUGCAAAAAUGCUGGUGUAAAGGUGCGCAUGGUCACAGGAGAUAAUAUUGAAACAGCCAAGGCAAUAGCGUUGGAGUGCGGAAUACUAGAUGCAAAUGGUGUUAUUUCAGAGCCAUUUGUAAUAGAGGGAAAAGCGUUCCGCGAGAUGUCUGAAAUUGCAAGAGGAGAGAUUGCUGACAAGAUAACUGUCAUGGGAAGAUCAUCUCCAAAUGACAAACUUUUGCUUGUCCAAGCUUUGAAAAGGAAAGGCCAUGUUGUGGCUGUCACUGGUGAUGGCACAAAUGAUGCCCCUGCAUUGCAUGAGGCUGAUAUAGGUCUUGCAAUGGGCAUGUCAGGGACAGAAGUUGCUAAAGAAAGCUCUGACAUUAUAAUCUUGGAUGAUGACUUCACAUCUGUUGUGAAGGUUGUUCGCUGGGGACGCUCUGUCUAUGCAAAUAUUCAGAAAUUCAUCCAGUUCCAGCUUACUGUUAACGUUGCCGCACUUGUGAUUAAUGUUAUUGCAGCUGUGUCAUCUGGUGACGUGCCUCUAAAUGCUGUUGAGCUUCUCUGGGUGAACCUUAUCAUGGAUACACUGGGAGCUCUUGCUUUAGCAACUGAACCACCAACAGACAACCUUAUGAAGAGACAGCCUGUUGGUCGAAGGGAGCCACUUGUGACCAAUAUUAUGUGGAGAAACUUGUUUGUCCAGGCCAUUUACCAAAUAGCAAUCCUUCUUAUCUUUAAUUUCUCUGGAAAAAAGAUUCUACGGCUGCAGAAUGAAAGUCCAGAUAACGCCGAGAAAAUGAAGAACACAUUUAUCUUCAAUACAUUUGUAUUUUGCCAGAUCUUCAACGAGUUCAAUGCGCGUAAGCCUGAGGAAAGGAAUGUCUUCAAAGGAGUAACAAAGAACCACCUCUUCAUGGGAAUAGUUUGUGUAACUACCGUGUUUCAGAUACUAAUAGUUGAAUUCCUGGGAAAGUUCUUUAAAAUUGUGAGACUUAACUGGAGUCUAUGGUUAGUUUCAGUUGCCAUUGGCGUCGUAAGCUGGCCUUUGGCUUACCUAGGGAAAUUCAUUCCUGUUCCUGUAAGACCUCUCCAGGCCUAUUUCAAGCCUUGUUGGAAAUCAUCACGUCGAGGUAAGUCUCCACUCUAUAGUUACUGGAUAAUGUUCUGCAUCAACGUUGGUCUAACUAGCUUACCAUUAACGCGUACUGUAACGCAGACGAGGAGGAAGGCAGGCAGGGCUAAAAAGGAUGCAAAUCACCUGGUGUAA
RNAcentral lists this ribosomal RNA (3252 nucleotides) under Triticum aestivum (bread wheat). RNAcentral describes it as "partial small subunit ribosomal RNA". Lineage: Eukaryota; Viridiplantae; Streptophyta; Magnoliopsida; Poales; Poaceae. The record is from RNAcentral.